This 388-nucleotide ribosomal RNA is filed under the name uncultured eukaryote. Its description in RNAcentral is "SSU rRNA". It matches the Rfam family "Eukaryotic small subunit ribosomal RNA", at positions 587 to 972 of the family's 1831-position model. The record is from RNAcentral.
AGCUCCAGUAGCGUAUAUUAAAGUUGUUGCAGUUAAAAAGCUCGUAGUUGGACUUCUGGUUUGGCGCGCUUGGCCCGCUCCCAUUGGGACGUGAGUGCUGAUGCGCGCUUGCCAUCCUUCCAGAGAACGUUUCUACCCUUAAUUGGGCCGGAUUCGCGAUCUGGAUCAUUUACUUUGAAAAAAUUAGAGUGUUUAAAGCAGGCUUGUGCCAUGAAUACAUUAGCAUGGAAUAAUAAUUUAGGACUUUGGUUCUAUUUUGUUGGUUUUCUGGACCGAAGUAAUGAUUGAUAGGGAUAGUUGGGGGUGCUAGUAUUCAGCGGCCAGAGGUGAAAUUCUUGGAUUCGCUGAAGACUAACUUAUGCGAAAGCAUUCACCAAGGAUGUCUUCU